This is a ribosomal RNA of 435 nucleotides. It matches the Rfam family "Bacterial small subunit ribosomal RNA", at positions 341 to 792 of the family's 1533-position model.
ACGGGAGGCAGCAGUCGGGAAUAUUGCGCAAUGGAGGAAACUCUGACGCAGUGACGCCGCGUAUAGGACGAAGGUCUUCGGAUUGUAAACUAUUGUCGUUAGGGAAGAGAAAGGACAGUACCUAAGGAGGAAGCUCCGGCUAACUACGUGCCAGCAGCCGCGGUAAUACGUAGGGAGCGAGCGUUAUCCGGAUUUAUUGGGUGUAAAGGGUGCGCAGACGGGAAAUUAAGUUAGUUGUGAAAUCCCUCGGCUUAACUGAGGAACUGCAACUAAAACUGGUUUUCUUGAGUAUUGGAGAGGAAAGCGGAAUUCCUAGUGUAGCGGUGAAAUGCGUAGAUAUUAGGAGGAACACCAGUGGCGAAGGCGGCUUUCUGGACAAAAACUGACGUUGAGGCACGAAAGUGUGGGGAGCAAACAGGAUUAGAUACCCUGGUA